GAUGAACGCUGGCGGCGUGCCUAACACAUGCAAGUCGAACGGAGAUUACGGACGGAAGUUUUCGGAUGGAAGCCUGUGAUUCUUAGUGGCGGACGGGUGAGUAACGCGUGGGCAACCUGCCCUAUACAGGGGGAUAGCAGCUGGAAACGGCUGGUAAGACCGCAUAAGUCGGUUAAAUCGCAUGAUUUGAUCGGGAAAUGAGCAAUCAGGUAUAGGAUGGGCCCGCGUCCGAUUAGCCAGUUGGCAGGGUAAAAGCCUACCAAAGCGACGAUCGGUAGCCGGACUGAGAGGUCGGACGGCCACAUUGGGACUGAGACACGGCCCAAACUCCUACGGGAUGCAGCAGUGGGGGAUAUUGCACAAUGGAGGAAACUCUGAUGCAGCGACGCCGCGUGAGUGAAGAAGUAUUUCGGUAUGUAAAGCUCUAUCAGCAGGGAAGAUGAUGACGGUACCUGACUAAGAAGCCCCGGCUAACUACGUG
This 481-nucleotide ribosomal RNA is filed under the name uncultured bacterium. RNAcentral describes it as "partial 16S ribosomal RNA". It matches the Rfam family "Bacterial small subunit ribosomal RNA", at positions 28 to 507 of the family's 1533-position model. The record is from RNAcentral.